GGACGAACGCUGGCGGCGUGCCUAACACAUGCAAGUCGAGCGAGGAGAUCCUUCGGGAUGAUCCUAGCGGCGGACGGGUGAGUAACACGUGGGCAACCUGCCUCAUAGAGAGGAAUAGCCUUCCGAAAGGGAGAUUAAUACCUCAUAACAUUGCAGUUUCGCAUGGAACAGCAAUUAAAGGAGUAAUCCGCUAUGAGAUGGGCCCGCGGCGCAUUAGCUAGUUGGUGAGGUAACGGCUCACCAAGGCGACGAUGCGUAGCCGACCUGAGAGGGUAAUCGGCCACAUUGGGACUGAGACACGGCCCAGACUCCUACGGGAGGCAGCAGUGGGGAAUAUUGCACAAUGGGGGAAACCCUGAUGCCAGCAACGCCGCGUGAGUGAUGACGGCCUUCGGGUUGUAAAGCUCUGUCUUCAGGGACGAUAAUGACGGUACCUGAGGAGGAAGCCACGGCUAACUACGUGCCAGCCGCCGC
Molecule: ribosomal RNA, 474 nt
Filed under: uncultured bacterium
Lineage: Bacteria
Description: bacterial SSU rRNA
Rfam family: Bacterial small subunit ribosomal RNA
Source: RNAcentral